CUAAAUAUUGUGAGGCUGCAGGUGGCGACACGUCUUGCCUUGGAUGGAUCUGUUGUUAGGAAAUAGAAACAGUUUAACUAACACCUGGAACAUUGUGGAUUCUGCUGUAUCAAAGCUCUUCCUGCACAGCUCCGACAACCUAAACCCAUGAGUCCUCAGAGCAGUACCCCUUCCACACCACCGACAUGAUACAGACCCCUCCACCAAUGCCUUGUGUGGCACCAUUACCAUUGAAUUUGAUUACAAAGGUGCCACUUACAACAUGAUAAGCAUCCCUGCUAUCUCCAGCUACGUGCUCACCUUUGUUUCAAAGUGAAUUGUAUUAUUAUUUUUGCAUGGAAUUACCUAGAAUUUACAGCACAGAAACAGGCCAUUUGGUCUAUGCUGGUGUCUAUGCUCCACAUGAGCCUCCUCCCACCCCAGCUUCAUCUCACCCUACUAGCAUAUCUUUUAUGAUUUUAAUGUUCACUAGUUGCCACUAGCCCUUUUCAAUGCUUUUGACUGUAUUUGCACCAUAACAAAGACACCUGUUGAAUUGGACCAAUAUAUUGUAGUGACAAACCAUGUCUGCAAGGAUCAGUAGGGAAAAUCACAAUGAUCCAGAGAUAGAGACCUGGAGACAAUUCACUCUUUUGUUGUGUACACCCACAGCAGUUCUAUUGCUCACUUUUUAUUAGUGGGCAAAUCGCGUUAACACUGACUGUAAACGUUGGAGACUGUGACUCCAAUUCUCACAUCAAACUGUCCUUAUGACCUUGUCUGAAUGAGAUUGUCCAGUUAGUGGAAAUUAAUGCCAAAUUACAGGCAGGUUUGUGUGGUUGGCCUGGAAUCCACUGGGAAAAUGGACUUCAACCUGCUUGAAAGCUGUAAAAUCAUCACACGUGGAAGUGGAGACCCAAACCACUUUCUGCUGGUGUCAGUCAAACAAUGGUGGAAGUCAAAAGGACAUUUUCUUUCAUUUAUCCACAUUCAAUAACUUUUUGAAAAUAAUAUUCCCAAACUGCAAAUGCUGCCUUGUUGCAUCCACAAAACGUCGCAUCUAAAUAUAGACCUCCUGCAUCUGACUUUUUGCUAAACAUCUUUCGCAUCUUCCGGUGUUUUGCUCUCCAGUGACAUCUCUGACUGCCAGCUUAAUUAAAUGUUGCUGAAGGAUUCUGCCACAGGGGCCUUAUAAUAUCUCCUGCCUGAGGAUUCAGUAUUAUCACGGGUUACCUUCUUCAUGCCUGGGAUUUGGCUGCAGCUUUCUUCCUUCUUUAAGGUUAAUGCAUUAAGUGAAGAAUUGGAAAGAGAAAAAUAAGGACAGCACAUCGACCGUUGCAUAUCACAUCCUUGAUUCCAAAAGAAACACUCAACCCUAGCGGAAUUUUCAUAAUGUCAGGCUGAAUCAAGCAAAGAUUCAAUGGGUCGAAUGGCCUGUUACUGUGUUGCAACUGUGUUUGGUCUUAUCACAUAGUUAAUCUUUUUCAAAGUGGGUUUUGAAAUCACCCAGAGAGAUCAAUUGAAUUAUUUUGUCAUUAUUUAAUCAAUGAUCUUGUUGUGAAAAUCUUUUGUUAAAGUACAUGGGAUCAUUUUGGGUGAAUGUGCUAACCCAUUAAAUACCAAUAUUGGAUCAUG
This is a long non-coding RNA of Carcharodon carcharias (great white shark), 1614 nucleotides long. RefSeq lists it as uncharacterized. NCBI's taxonomy places the organism in Eukaryota, Metazoa, Chordata, Chondrichthyes, Lamniformes, Lamnidae. The transcript has 2 exons. The record is from RefSeq and is a predicted model, not a curated record.